Molecule: ribosomal RNA, 497 nt
Filed under: uncultured bacterium
Lineage: Bacteria
Description: partial 16S ribosomal RNA
Rfam family: Bacterial small subunit ribosomal RNA
Source: RNAcentral
GAUGAACGCUGGCGGCGUGCCUAAUACAUGCAAGUCGAGCGAACAGAUAAGGAGCUUGCUCCUUUGACGUUAGCGGCGGACGGGUGAGUAACACGUGGAUAACCUACCUAUAAGACUGGGAUAACUUCGGGAAACCGGAGCUAAUACCGGAUAACAUAUUGAACCGCAUGGUUCAAUAGUGAAAGGCGGCUUUGCUGUCACUUAUAGAUGGAUCCGCGCCGUAUUAGCUAGUUGGUAAGGUAACGGCUUACCAAGGCAACGAUACGUAGCCGACCUGAGAGGGUGAUCGGUCACACUGGAACUGAGACACGGUCCAGACUCCUACGGGAGGCAGCAGUAGGGAAUCUUCCGCAAUGGGCGAAAGCCUGACGGAGCAACGCCGCGUGAGUGAUGAAGGUCUUCGGAUCGUAAAACUCUGUUAUCAGGGAAGAACAAAUGUGUAAGUAACUGUGCACAUCUUGACGGUACCUGAUCAGAAAGCCACGGCUAACUACGUG